AGUUUGAUCCUGGCUCAGAACGAACGCUGGCGGCAGGCUUAACACAUGCAAGUCGAACGCCCCGCAAGGGGAGUGGCAGACGGGUGAGUAACGCGUGGGAAUCUACCGUGCCCUGCGGAAUAGCUCCGGGAAACUGGAAUUAAUACCGCAUACGCCCUACGGGGGAAAGAUUUAUCGGGGUAUGAUGAGCCCGCGUUGGAUUAGCUAGUUGGUGGGGUAAAGGCCUACCAAGGCGACGAUCCAUAGCUGGUCUGAGAGGAUGAUCAGCCACAUUGGGACUGAGACACGGCCCAAACUCCUACGGGAGGCAGCAGUGGGGAAUAUUGGACAAUGGGCGCAAGCCUGAUCCAGCCAUGCCGCGUGAGUGAUGAAGGCCUUCGGGUUGUAAAGACUUUCAGCGGGGAGGAAGGCGGUGAGGUUAAUAACCUUGCCGAUUGACGUUACCCGCAGAAGAAGCACCGGCUAACUCCGUGCCAGCAGCCGCGGUAA
RNAcentral lists this ribosomal RNA (489 nucleotides) under uncultured bacterium. RNAcentral's name for it is "bacterial SSU rRNA". It matches the Rfam family "Bacterial small subunit ribosomal RNA", at positions 10 to 523 of the family's 1533-position model. The record is from RNAcentral.